This 497-nucleotide ribosomal RNA is filed under the name uncultured bacterium. RNAcentral describes it as "partial 16S ribosomal RNA". It matches the Rfam family "Bacterial small subunit ribosomal RNA", at positions 28 to 507 of the family's 1533-position model. The record is from RNAcentral.
GACGAACGCUGGCGGCGUGCCUAAUACAUGCAAGUAGAACGCUGAAGCUUGGUGCUUGCACCGAGCGGAUGAGUUGCGAACGGGUGAGUAACGCGUAGGUAACCUGCCUGGUAGCGGGGGAUAACUAUUGGAAACGAUAGCUAAUACCGCAUAAGAGUAGAUGUUGCAUGACAUUUGCUUAAAAGGUGCAAUUGCAUCACUACCAGAUGGACCUGCGUUGUAUUAGCUAGUUGGUGAGGUAACGGCUCACCAAGGCAACGAUACAUAGCCGACCUGAGAGGGUGAUCGGCCACACUGGGACUGAGACACAGCCCAGACUCCUACGGGAGGCAGCAGUAGGGAAUCUUCGGCAAUGGACGGAAGUCUGACCGAGCAACGCCGCGUGAGUGAAGAAGGUUUUCGGAUCGUAAAGCUCUGUUGUAAGAGAAGAACGAGUGUGAGAGUGGAAAGUUCACACUGUGACGGUAUCUUACCAGAAAGGGACGGCUAACUACGUG